CCCUUAACUUAAAACCUCUACCGAAUAGCUGUUCAGACCUGAGGCGUGUCCCAAAGGUUUGGAUACUACUUAAAUCUUGUCUGCCUGAUUAAAUUACUUAAUGUUUAUAAUCUUUUCUUAUGGAAAGCCAGCCUGAGCCUGCCGAAUAAUAUUAACACCAGAAAAGCCUUGGCUUGGCUUGGGACAGGACUGCACCUCUGUUCCCCCAGCUUUUCCAUUAAAAAGAAAAAGAAAAAGAAAAAAAUCUGGGUAGUAUCCUGGAGUAGCUUUGAAGCUCUGUGCUGAGCAGGACCAACUCAGACUCAGAAGUACCAGCCUAUUUAUCUGUACUGUAUUUCGGUGAGACAGCCAGGACCCGUGUGAACGCUGAACACAUUUUAAGUAAAGAAGGAGCUUAAGCUGAAGAGAGGGCAGGCAGAGGAGCCGUCGGGUGGACAGCGUGCUGGGCCCACGGGGCUUUGAGAUGCUUUGCAGGAUUGUCACUUGAUGUCGAACACGUUAUUCUCAGAGGACACUAAAGAGAAGCACAGGUACCCUGGGCUCCAGGGGGAUUCAUUAUUCAAGGCACAAAAUUCCCUACUCUGGUCUGCAACACAUUAUAAUUCAAAUGAGCCCAGCACAAUAGAAGAAAAUAUGCAAGCAGAUUUCUCCCUGUCGUGUUUUUUUUCCUCCUUUCUGAAGCCCUGUAAUUACAGCGGGCAGGUGGAGCAUCUGGGGUGUGGGGGAGUCCACUGUAUUUUUACCUUCCCAGGAACGCGACUUGCCUACCGCAUCAAUAUAUUUUAUUUUUAAUUAAGCGCUACUGAAUCUCUGCGCGAAAGCCUGAUUCACAACUUUUUCCUCCCUGCCAUUCCCUGAGAUGCUGCUGCUAUUACGGUCUCACAUUUCCCUUCUUAAAAUUUGCUUAGUAAAUUAGUUCUGCCCUUGGGCGAGCUCGGCCGCCCCUAGGUCCCCGAUCGCGGUCCUUACUCUCUUGUUCCCCCAGGCAGUCCCGGGCCAGUUUCUCCGCGCGCCCUGCCGCGCCACGUGCCCCAGCGCGGGGCCGGGCAGGGAGCAGGUCAGCAAAGAAUAAAGGACAUAGACUUUCAGGACACAUUGACUUGUUUUGAAUCCUGCUCUGGGACUCCUGCUUUGCAGAACAACAAAGGCAACAUGGCAGCUGCUUCUGACUCUCACUCUGGAGUAGCCUUCUCUGAAUCCCCACUUUGGGAACUGCUGUGUGACAGAGGUGUGCUGCCAUGACGUUGAGAUCACUUCACAUGGAGUCACAGUCCUUGCCUUUCAGGAACCUGUCAUGCUAUCCUGAAGCAUGUUGUGAAGAAGUCCAAGCCACAUGGUGAGGGAAGCCCAAGCCAUCUGUUGAUGCUCCAACACAUUGUCUUCACUGAGCCUUACCUUCAAGCUACCCAGCCCAGCACUGGAAAUACAGGACUGGAGCAUCGGGGACUCAUGACUCUGUGGCUUCUGAUGAGGACGGUGACAUAUUGCAGCAAUCAUCGUGUGCACAUAUUCAUUCCAUGAGGUAUAUUUCUGCACUGGAGGCAGACUGGCUCCUGGAAUGUGAGAAGCUAAGCCACUUGGCCUGUGGUAUCUUCUAUGGCAGCUCUAACAACUAAUAAAAACUAAUUCAGAAGGGAAUGAGCCAGCGCUGGAGAGAAUGGGCCGGCUGGAAUGAAUUCCGGGCUCUUGUCGCGCCUCCCAGUGAGCAUCUCACUCCGCUUUAAGACCCCACCUUCUUCUCCCC
This is a non-coding RNA of Manis javanica (Malayan pangolin), 1744 nucleotides long. The record is from RefSeq and is a predicted model, not a curated record. NCBI's taxonomy places the organism in Eukaryota, Metazoa, Chordata, Mammalia, Pholidota, Manidae.